RNAcentral lists this ribosomal RNA (1461 nucleotides) under Halorubrum sp. LLL. RNAcentral's name for it is "bacterial SSU rRNA". It matches the Rfam family "Archaeal small subunit ribosomal RNA". Lineage: Archaea; Methanobacteriati; Methanobacteriota; Halobacteria; Halobacteriales; Haloferacaceae. The record is from RNAcentral.
AUUUUGAUCCUGCCGGAGGCCAUUGCUAUUGGGAUCCGAUUUAGCCAUGCUAGUCGUACGAGUUCAGACUCGUGGCGAAUAGCUCAGUAACACGUGGCCAAACUACCCUUCGGAACACAAUACCCUCGGGAAACUGAGGCUAAUAGUGUAUACCACAUCACCACUGGAAUGAGUGAUGUGCCAAACGCUCCGGCGCCGAAGGAUGUGGCUGCGGCCGAUUAGGUAGACGGUGGGGUAACGGCCCACCGUGCCAAUAAUCGGUAUGGGUCAUGAGAGUGAGAACCCAGAGACGGAAUCUGAGACAAGAUUCCGGGCCCUACGGGGCGCAGCAGGCGCGAAACCUUUACACUGCACGACAGUGCGAUAGGGGGAUCCCAAGUGCACAGGCAUAGCGCCUGUGCUUUUCGGUACCGUAAGGUGGUACCAGAAUAAGGGCUGGGCAAGACCGGUGCCAGCCGCCGCGGUAAUACCGGCAGCCCAAGUGAUGGCCGAUCUUAUUGGGCCUAAAGCGUCCGUAGCUGGCCGCGCAAGUCCAUCGGGAAAUCCACCUGCUCAACAGGUGGGCGCCCGGUAGAAACUGCGUGGCUUGGGACCGGAAGGCGCGACGGGUACGUCCGGGGUAGGAGUGAAAUCCCGUAAUCCUGGACGGACCGCCGAUGGCGAAAGCACGUCGCGAGGACGGAUCCGACAGUGAGGGACGAAAGCCAGGGUCUCGAACCGGAUUAGAUACCCGGGUAGUCCUGGCCGUAAACAAUGUCUGCUAGGUGUGGCUCCCACUACGAGUGGGUGCUGUGCCGUAGGGAAGCCGCUAAGCAGACCGCCUGGGAAGUACGUCCGCAAGGAUGAAACUUAAAGGAAUUGGCGGGGGAGCACUACAACCGGAGGAGCCUGCGGUUUAAUUGGACUCAACGCCGGACAUCUCACCAGCAUCGACUGUAAUAAUGACGACCAGGUUGAUGACCUUGUCCGAGUUUCAGAGAGGAGGUGCAUGGCCGCCGUCAGCUCGUACCGUGAGGCGUCCUGUUAAGUUAGGCAACGAGCGAGACCCGCACCCUUACUUGCCAGCAGUACCGCGAGGUAGCUGGGGACAGUAGGAGGACCGCCGUGGCUAACACGGAGGAAGGAACGGGCAACGGUAGGUCAGUAUGCCCCGAAUGUGCUGGGCAACACGCGGGCUACAAUGGUCGAGACAAAGGGUUCCUACUCCGAAAGGAGACGGUAAUCUCAGAAACUCGAUCGUAGUUCGGAUUGUGGGCUGCAACUCGCCCACAUGAAGCUGGAUUCGGUAGUAAUCGCGUGUCACAAGCGCGCGGUGAAUACGUCCCUGCUCCUUGCACACACCGCCCGUCAAAGCACCCGAGUGAGGUCCGGAUGAGGCGUUCCACGAACGUCGAAUCUGGGCUUCGCAAGGGGGCUUAAGUCGUAACAAGGUAGCCGUAGGGGAAUCUGCGGCUGGAUAAU